AUCACUUGGUGCCUCGGGAGCCAGAACACAGGUGCUGCAUGGCUGUCGUCAGCUCGUGUCGUGAGAUGUUGGGUUAAGUCCCGCAACGAGCGCAACCCUUGCCAUUAAUUGCCAUCAUUUAGUUGGGCACUUUAAUGGGACUGCCGGUGACAAACCGGAGGAAGGUGGGGAUGACGUCAAGUCCUCAUGGCCCUUAUGGGUAGGGCUUCACACGUCAUACAAUGGUCGGUACAGAGGGUUGCCAAGCCGCGAGGUGGAGCUAAUCUCUUAAAGCCGAUCGUAGUCCGGAUCGUAGUCUGCAACUCGACUACGUGAAGUCGGAAUCGCUAGUAAUCGCGGAUCAGCAUGUCGCGGUGAAUACGUUCCCGGGUCUU
RNAcentral lists this ribosomal RNA (374 nucleotides) under uncultured Azoarcus sp. RNAcentral's name for it is "bacterial SSU rRNA". It matches the Rfam family "Bacterial small subunit ribosomal RNA", at positions 1006 to 1382 of the family's 1533-position model. Lineage: Bacteria; Pseudomonadati; Pseudomonadota; Betaproteobacteria; Rhodocyclales; Zoogloeaceae. The record is from RNAcentral.